GGACUCUGGCUGCUCCUCCGCGGACGUCCGAGGUAGCGACUGGGACGAGUCCAGCGUCGGAAUGCCCUAGGCACCGCCCACCCGAGGCGCCAGCUGCGGAAGGGCACGUCCCACUUCUCCGGUGCCCGGCGCCGCCGCGGGAAGGCGCGUCCUCUGCGCAGGCGUGAGCCACCUGGAACUCGUGACAGCCCUGGAGGUGGGCGCUGGUCCCACGACGCUUUCGUUGGGAGGACGUCCAUCUUACAGGGGAGGAAAUCGGGGCAGGCAGAGACAGACGGCGAUUUCCUUUUUUCCCUUUUUUGGUACCGCGGAUUGAACCCAGGGGCGCUUAAGACUGAGCCCCCAUCCUUAGCCCUUUUCUAUAUUUUAUUUAGACACAGGAGCUCACUGAGUUGCUUAGGGCCUCGCUAAGUUGCUGAGGCUGGCUUUGAACUCGGGAUCCUCCUCCCUCAGCCUCCCGAAGCGCCGGGAUCACAGGCGUGCACCACUGCACCUGGCAGAUUCAGCAGUUUUCUAAAAAGUCUCGGCUGCUCAGUGGCAGAGCUGAAAUUGGAACCCGUAACUGGGACAGAUCCGAGCUCUAAAUCGCCCCUGAUCUUCCACUCAUCGGGGACCCACGGGCUGGGGAAUUAAUUAGGCAGAUCUGGGCACAAACGCACAAAUCGGUUCUCUUGGGCCUCAGUUUUCUCAUUUUGAAAUGGAGCAUGGUGAUGGUGCUUCACAACCACUUGUAAGGCUUGGGCAGGAAGCUGCCUGGCCGGAUUCCUGGCCUGGAGUACUCCAGCAGCCACAGCAGCAGCAGAGACAAUGGUUAACAUUGUUGCUUUACAGCUGUCGGCAGGAAGCUCCUAUUUAGCACAAGUGAAGCUCUGUGUUCAACCCAGCACCAAAUAAAAUACCGACCAUGCUCACCAGAGAGGUGGCUCGUUUGUUCUUCAUCCAGCCUUAAGUCAUUGAGCCAGCCAUUAUCCCCGGCACUGGGGGGGCGGCACAGCAGAAAAUAAUACAGAGAAGAAGUUCUGCCUUCCUGAAGCCCCAGCCUAGUGGACAGAAAUGGAUCAGAAAGUGGUGCGAGAAGUUCCUGCCCGUGUGAACUCUCCCGGCGGCGCCAAUUUCAAAUCUCGCUGGCGGGGAACCUUAGCCCCAAUGAGAACUAAUUCCUGGGCUCCGGAGCUGAUAUCUGAAAGAACUUGCCAAUAAACGGGUGGCCUGCCAUUUAUCUAAGCCCUACCAUCUCCCCCUUAGUUCUAUAUAAGCACACAGCUUUUUGCAAUAAAAUUGGAAUUCUCCCGGCGAA
Marmota monax (woodchuck) is the source of this 1297-nucleotide long non-coding RNA. RefSeq lists it as uncharacterized. The transcript is spliced from 2 exons. The record is from RefSeq and is a predicted model, not a curated record. NCBI's taxonomy places the organism in Eukaryota, Metazoa, Chordata, Mammalia, Rodentia, Sciuridae.